Molecule: ribosomal RNA, 468 nt
Filed under: uncultured bacterium
Lineage: Bacteria
Description: partial 16S ribosomal RNA
Rfam family: Bacterial small subunit ribosomal RNA
Source: RNAcentral
GACGAACGCUGGCGGCGUGCUUAACACAUGCGAGUCGAACGGAAAGGCCCUGCUUUUGUGGGGUGCUCGAGUGGCGAACGGGUGAGUAACACGUGAGUAACCUGCACUUGACUUUGGGAUAACUUCAGGAAACUGGGGCUAAUACCGGAUAGGAGCUCCUGCUGCAUGGUGGGGGUUGGAAAGUUUCGGCGGUUGGGGAUGGACUCGCGGCUUAUCAGCUUGUUGGUGGGGUAGUGGCUUACCAAGGCUUUGACGGGUAGCCGGCCUGAGAGGGUGACCGGCCACAUUGGGACUGAGAUACGGCCCAGACUCCUACGGGAGGCAGCAGUGGGGAAUAUUGCACAAUGGGCGGAAGCCUGAUGCAGCAACGCCGCGUGCGGGAUGACGGCCUUCGGGUUGUAAACCGCUUUCGCCUGUGACGAAGCGUGAGUGACGGUAAUGGGUAAAGAAGCACCGGCUAACUACGUG